Molecule: non-coding RNA, 490 nt
Organism: Prunus avium (sweet cherry)
Lineage: Eukaryota; Viridiplantae; Streptophyta; Magnoliopsida; Rosales; Rosaceae
Source: RefSeq, a predicted model, not a curated record
UUCUGGACUUCAGUGUCAGCGGGAAAAUAAACCCAUUUGCCUAAAUCCAUUAGGCGCGGUUCUAGUUUCCCAGCUUAAGAAACAAAAGGUUUCAAGUCGCCUUUAUUACUGCUCCAUCUUGUCUUGGGAGGAGAUUUCCACAUUAGCUAAAAGUGAUUUGGGAGAGAGGUGAUGGGGUGUGGAGGAGCUUUCCGGGUUAAGCUAGAUCAUGCCGCGCUGACAUCUUUCUCCGGCUCAGCUUAGAUGCUCUUGCAUGAAGUUUCCCAUACCUGUCUAACAAUGUGCAAAUCUGAAUGUAAUGUCUGAAUUUUGAAGCUUUGUUCAACAUAUUCAAUGACUCUUGUUAAACUGUUGAAUGAUUUAUGCUCUCUAGUCUCUUGAAUUAUUUCUAGCUUGCAGCAAAUUGUUUUGCUAUAUAUUUAAACAUGGUGCAGUUCAUUGUGGCAGCUGUUUUGUUUUAUUUGUAUUAUAAGUGGAUGGGAAAGUCAUA